This 253-nucleotide ribosomal RNA is filed under the name uncultured bacterium. RNAcentral's name for it is "partial 16S ribosomal RNA". It matches the Rfam family "Bacterial small subunit ribosomal RNA", at positions 524 to 776 of the family's 1533-position model. The record is from RNAcentral.
UACGUAGGUCGCAAGCGUUGUCCGGAUUUACUGGGCGUAAAGCGUGCGCAGGCGGUUAUGUAAGACAGGUGUGAAAUCCCAGGGCUUAACCUUGGAACUGCAUUUGUGACUGCAUAGCUAGAGUACGGUAGAGGGGGAUGGAAUUCCGCGUGUAGCAGUGAAAUGCGUAGAUAUGCGGAGGAACACCGAUGGCGAAGGCAAUCCCCUGGACCUGUACUGACGCUCAUGCACGAAAGCGUGGGGAGCAAACAGG